GUGGAAAAACUCCCUUGACGGUACUUAAUGAAUAAGCCCCGGCUAAUUAUGUGCCAGCAGCCGCGGUAAUACAUAAGGGGCGAGCGUUAUCCGGAAUUAUUGGGCGUAAAGGGUGCGUAGGCGGUUUAAUAAGUCUAUAGUUUAAUUUCAGUGCUUAACGCUGUUGUGCUAUAGAAACUGUUUUACUAGAGUGAGUUAGAGGCAAGCGGAAUUCCAUGUGUAGCGGUAAAAUGCGUAAAUAUAUGGAGGAACACCAGAGGCGUAGGCGGCUUGCUGGGACUUUACUGACGCUGAGGCACGAAAGCGUGGGGAGCAAACAGGAUUAGAUACCCUGGUAGUCCACNCCGUAAACGAUGAGUACUAAGUGUCGGGUAAAACCGGUACUGAAGUUAACACAUUAAGUACUCCGCCUGAGUAGUACGUACGCAAGUAUGAAACUUAAAGGAAUUGACGGGACUCCGCACAAGCGGUGGAUCAUGUUGUUUAAUUCGAAGAUACACGAAAAACCUUACCAGGUCUUGACAUUUUCUUGCGAAGUUAUAGAAAUAUAAUGGAGGUUAUCAGGAAAACAGGUGGUGCAUGGUUGUCGUCAGCUCGUGUCGUGAGAUGUUAGGUUAAGUCCUAAAACGAGCGCAACCCUUGUCGUUAAUUGCCAGCAUGUAAUGAUGGGGACUUUAACGAGACUGCCAAUGAAAAAUUGGAGGAAGGUGGGGAUUACGUCAAAUCAUCAUGCCCCUUAUGAUCUGGGCUACAAACGUGAUACAAUGGUUGAUACAAAGA
Molecule: ribosomal RNA, 780 nt
Filed under: Cassava frogskin disease phytoplasma
Lineage: Bacteria; Bacillati; Mycoplasmatota; Mollicutes; Acholeplasmatales; Acholeplasmataceae
Description: bacterial SSU rRNA
Rfam family: Bacterial small subunit ribosomal RNA
Source: RNAcentral